RNAcentral lists this transfer RNA (72 nucleotides) under Camelus bactrianus (Bactrian camel). It matches the Rfam family "tRNA". From Rfam's summary of the family: Transfer RNA (tRNA) molecules are approximately 80 nucleotides in length. Lineage: Eukaryota; Metazoa; Chordata; Mammalia; Artiodactyla; Camelidae. The record is from Rfam by way of RNAcentral. RNAcentral also lists the same sequence under 2 other names.
AGGGGUAUAGCUCAGUAGUAGAGCAUGUGCUUAGCAUGCACAAGGUCCCAGGUUCAAUUCUCAGUACCUCCA